CUCAGUUCGGAUUGUAGUCUGNAACCCGACUACAUGAAGCUGGAAUCGCUAGUAAUCGCAGAUCAGAAUGCUGCGGUGAAUACGUUCCCGGGUCUUGUACACACCGCCCGUCACACCAUGGGAGUCGGAAAUGCCCGAAGCCGGUGACCCAACCAAAAGGAGGGAGCCGUCGAAGGCAGGUCUGAUAACUGGGGUGAAGUCGUAACAAGGUACC
This 214-nucleotide ribosomal RNA is filed under the name uncultured bacterium. RNAcentral's name for it is "partial 16S ribosomal RNA". It matches the Rfam family "Bacterial small subunit ribosomal RNA", at positions 1287 to 1500 of the family's 1533-position model. The record is from RNAcentral.